Molecule: ribosomal RNA, 481 nt
Filed under: uncultured bacterium
Lineage: Bacteria
Description: bacterial SSU rRNA
Rfam family: Bacterial small subunit ribosomal RNA
Source: RNAcentral
GAUGAACGCUAGCGGCAGGCUUAACACAUGCAAGUCGAACGGUAACAUGAUCAGCUUGCUGAUUGAUGACGAGUGGCGCACGGGUGCGUAACGCGUAUGCAACUUGCCCUGUACAUAGGGAUAGCCCAGAGAAAUUUGGAUUAAUACCUUAUAGUAUAUUAAGAUCGCAUGGUCUAAAUAUUAAAGCUUUAUUGUGGUACAGGAUGGGCAUGCGUGACAUUAGAUAGUUGGUGAGGUAACGGCCCACCAAGUCAACGAUGUCUAGGGGUUCUGAGAGGAUGAUCCCCCACACUGGUACUGAGACACGGACCAGACUCCUACGGGAGGCAGCAGUGAGGAAUAUUGGGCAAUGGAGGCAACUCUGACCCCAGCCAUGCCGCGUGCAGGAAAGAAUGUUUUAUGAAAUUUGUAAAACUGCUUUUUUAAAUGGGGAAAGAAAAUGGUUCUACGUGUAGGACUUUUGCCGGUACCAUAUGAAUAA